Long non-coding RNA from Camelina sativa (false flax), 1123 nucleotides. RefSeq lists it as uncharacterized. NCBI's taxonomy places the organism in Eukaryota, Viridiplantae, Streptophyta, Magnoliopsida, Brassicales, Brassicaceae. The record is from RefSeq and is a predicted model, not a curated record.
AGAAAAACAAAAAAAUUGUCGAAAUUGUGAGAAUUGGAGACUCCGUGUUCCACCGACGAGAGAUAACACAGUGAGAGAGAAUGGGAGAAAUGUGAAUAGGUAUUCUAUCGGAGAACCCAAUCGGAUCUCCAUUGGAGGUGAAUCCUCAAGUUGAAGUAAGUGGAACCAGUAAUCGUGUUUGCGACAUCACAGAGGAGCCAAAUCAAGGACCGGAGAGAUCUUCUAGCUUUAGUUCAGAAAAACAAGCUAGCCAAAGCUUCGCAACUCCUACUCUCUAUCUCCAAUUUGAAUUUGGAUUGUCUUCAUCUCUUGUUGUUACCUAUUGUUGAUGACUGUAUUUAGAUUUUCAUUCAUUGCUGUAGGAGAAUUAUUUUACAAUUUAAGCUUAGUCGCAACGACUUUAGAAAACGGUAGUGAUGAUUUGGAUUCAUGAAAAUGAUUUUUGGUUUAUUUCGUGGUUGAUCGAGCUGCUCUAUAGCUUUUCGUUAUCUAAUUUGUUAUGUAAGGUCAUAUCCUUCAGUUGACCAAUAGAAUAACUGGUUAAAUUUGUGGAGGAAGCUUAGAUUUUCAAUAUGGUGCUCUUUGUUUUUAACAAUGAGGUUAUUGACAUGUUGAUGAAACUGAUAUUGUAAUGGGGAUUGUCUUUGAUAUUUGCAGGACGAGCAAUCCAUGAAUAGUGAUGCAGAAUUGUCUAAACAUUUACGAGAGCUAGGUUCUUGUCUUCUGUGAAUGAACCCUCAUCAGAUGUGACUGACAAAGACAUUAAUGAUUUUGAGUCUUGGUUGGGUGGAUCAUAUGUUGCUGGCUCUGCUGUACUAUUAUCUGGAUUGUUGAGUAUCUCCCUUGCUAGGGGUGCUAAUGUGGAGUUCAAUUUAGAAAAGUCUUUAGAACAAGAGCAUUGACAAGGUAUGGCUAAGAAAGGGACCGGAGAGAUUUACGAGCUCUGGUUCAAAAAAGACAAGCUAACCAAAGCUUCGCAACUCCCAAUCUCUAUAUCGUGUACCUUUGAUCUGCACAUGUUUCUGUUUUGACACAUGGAUUCAUGACUUUUAAAAUAAAAUAUUCAUGAAGUACUAUUUGUAAUUCAUGAUGGUUUUCAUGAAAUAUUUUUUAAAAAAACUCA